GAAGGAAGCACAGACAAGCAGAUGCGCCAGCAUAUCCAUGAGUGGAGCGCGUGAGAUUCCCUCAGUAGCGGCGAGCGAAGCGGGAAGAGCCUAAACCGAAAGCUUUCGGGCUUUCGGGGUUGAGGACCAGCACAAAGGGAAAGCAGUCUAGUGGAACGGCAUGGGAAGGCCGGGCAAAGAGAGUGAGACCCUCGUACACGAAAGAGUGAAAAGCGGGCAGGAAUCCAGAGUACCACAGGGCACGAGGAACCCGGUGGGAAGCAGGGUGGACCACCAUCCAAGGCAAAAUACUACCUGACGACCGAUAGAGGAAAGUACCGUGAGGGAAAGGCGAAAAGAACCGCGGGAGCGGAGUGAAAUAGAACCUGAAACCGUAUGUCCACAAGCAGUCGAAGCGCUUUAUAUGCGCGACGGCGUGCCUAUUGAAGAAUGAACCGGCGAGUUACGAAGCCUGGCAAGGUUAAGCAGGAAAUGCGGAGCCGAAGCGAAAGCGAGUCUUAAGAGGGCGCAAGUCAGGAAGCGUAGACCCGAAACCACAGUGAUCUACCCAUGUCCAGGUUGAAGCACAGGUAAAAAUGUGUGGAGGACCGAACCUAUAUCUGUUGAAAAAGGUUAGGAUGACUUGUGGAUAGCGGUGAAAUUCCAAUCGAACUCGGAUAUAGCUGGUUCUCCUCGAAAUAGCUUUAGGGCUAGCCUCAAGGAAAGACACUGGGAGGUAGAGCACUGAAUGUUCUAGGGGCCUUCACCGGUUACCGAAAACUAUCAAACUCCGAAUACCAGAGUAUCAUCUACGGGAGUCAGACUAUGUGAGAUAAGUUUCAUAGUCGAAAGGGAAACAGCCCAGACCUACAGCUAAGGUCCCAAAAUAUAAGUUAAGUGGAAAAGGAUGUGAAGUUGCACAAACAGCUAGGAUGUUGGCUUAGAAGCAGCCAUACAUUUAAAGAGUGCGUAACAGCUCACUAGUCGAGUGAUUUUGCGCCGAAGAUAAACGGGGCUAAAACUUAUUACCGAAGCUUGGGAAUUUAAAAUAAAUUGGUAGAGGAGCGUCCUAUGUGGGUUGAAGUUGUGCCGUAAGGCAUGGUGGACUGCAUAGGAGUGAGAAUGUUGGCAUGAGUAGCGAGAGACAGGUGAGAAUCCUGUCGGCCGAAAAUCUAAGGUUUCCUGAGCAAGGUUCGUCCGCUCAGGGUUAGUCGGGACCUAAGCUGAGGGCGAAAGCCAUAGGCGAUGGACAACAGGUUGAUAUUCCUGUACCACCGAUAGUCGUUAAGAGUGAAGUGGGGACACAGAAGGAUAGGUUAAGCGUGCCGUUGGUAGAGCACGUACAAGCGUUAAGGUAGUUGCGGCAGGCAAAUCCACUGCAAUAAUACUGAGGCGUUAUGUGGAGGGAAAUUAAGUACCGGAAGUGACUGAUUUCAUGCUGUCAAGAAAAGCCGCUAGCAAGACUAAAGGUGCCCGUACCGCAAACCGACACAGGUAGAUGAGGAGAGAAUCCUAAGGCCAGCGAGAUAACUAUUGUUAAGGAACUCGGCAAAAUAACCCCGUAACUUUGGGAGAAGGGGUACCUACGCAAGUAGGUCGCAGUGAAUAGGCCCAGGCGACUGUUUAGCAAAAACACAGGUCUCUGCAAAAGCGAAAGCUGAAGUAUAGGGGCUGACGCCUGCCCAGUGCUGGAAGGUUAAGGUGAAGUGUAAGGGUAACCGAAGCACAGAACUUAAGCCCCAGUAAACGGCGGCCGUAACUAUAACGGUCCUAAGGUAGCGAAAUUCCUUGUCAGGUAAGUUCUGACCCGCACGAAAGGCGUAACGAUCUGGGCGCUGUCUCAACAAUAGACUCGGUGAAAUUGUAGUACCGGUAAAGAUGCCGGUUACCCGCAGCAGGACGGAAAGACCCCGUGGAGCUUUACUGUAACUUGAUAUUGAGUUUCGGUGUUAUGCGUACAGGAUAGGUGGGAGACUAUGAAUCUGGAGCGCCAGUUUCAGAGGAGUCACUGUUGGGAUACCACCCUUGUAGCAUUGGAAUUCUAACCCGGUAGCAUCAUCUGCUACGGGGACAGUGUCUGGUGGACAGUUUGACUGGGGCGGUCGCCUCCUAAAGAGUAACGGAGGCGCCCAAAGGUUCCCUCAGCGCGGACGGAAAUCGCGCAUAGAGUGCAAAGGCAGAAGGGAGCUUGACUGCGAGACCAACAAGUCGAGCAGGGACGAAAGUCGGGCUUAGUGAUCCGGUGGUUCCGAGUGGAAGGGCCAUCGCUCAACGGAUAAAAGCUACCC
RNAcentral lists this ribosomal RNA (2267 nucleotides) under human oral metagenome. Its description in RNAcentral is "bacterial LSU rRNA". It matches the Rfam family "Bacterial large subunit ribosomal RNA", at positions 172 to 2468 of the family's 2925-position model. The record is from RNAcentral.